RNAcentral lists this ribosomal RNA (363 nucleotides) under uncultured Polaribacter sp. Its description in RNAcentral is "bacterial SSU rRNA". It matches the Rfam family "Bacterial small subunit ribosomal RNA", at positions 103 to 471 of the family's 1533-position model. The record is from RNAcentral. Lineage: Bacteria; Pseudomonadati; Bacteroidota; Flavobacteriia; Flavobacteriales; Flavobacteriaceae.
CGGGUGCGUAACGCGUAUAGAACCUACCUUUUACAGAGGGAUAGCCUUUAGAAAUGAAGAUUAAUGCCUCAUAGUAUUGUAGACUGGCAUCAGUUUAUAAUUAAAGAUUUAUCGGUAAAAGAUGGCUAUGCGUCCUAUUAGUUAGUUGGAAGGUAACGGCUUACCAAGACAGCGAUAGGUAGGGGUCCUGAGAGGGAGAUCCCCCCACUGUACUGAGACACGGACCAGACUCCUACGGGAGGCAGCAGUGAGGAAUAUUGGACAAUGGAGGAGACUCUGAUCCGCCAUGCCGCGUGUAGGAAGAUGCCCUAUGGGUUGAAACUACUUUUAUACAGGAAGAACACUGGUAUGUAUACCAGCUUG